GACGAACGCUGGCGGCGUGCUUAACACAUGCAAGUCGAACGAUGAAGCUAGAGCUUGCUCUGGUGAAUUAGUGGCGAACGGGUGUGUAACACGUGAGUAACCUGCCCCGAACUCUGGGAUAACUGCUGGAAACGGUAGCUAAUACUGGAUACGACCUACGAAGGCAUCUUCUGUAGGUGGAAAGAAUUUCGGUUCGGGAUGGACUCGCGGCCUAUCAGCUUGUUGGUGAGGUAAUGGCUCACCAAGGCGACGACGGGUAGCCGGCCUGAGAGGGUGACCGGCCACACUGGGACUGAGACACGGCCCAGACUCCUACGGGAGGCAGCAGUGGGGAAUAUUGCACAAUGGGCGCAAGCCUGAUGCAGCGACGCCGCGUGAGGGAUGACGGCCUUCGGGUUGUAAACCUCUUUUAGUAGGGAAGAAGCGAAAGUGACGGUACCUGCAGAAAAAGCACCGGCUAACUACGUGCCAGCCGCCGCAGUAA
This 484-nucleotide ribosomal RNA is filed under the name uncultured bacterium. RNAcentral's name for it is "partial 16S ribosomal RNA". It matches the Rfam family "Bacterial small subunit ribosomal RNA", at positions 28 to 523 of the family's 1533-position model. The record is from RNAcentral.